This 482-nucleotide ribosomal RNA is filed under the name uncultured bacterium. Its description in RNAcentral is "partial 16S ribosomal RNA". It matches the Rfam family "Bacterial small subunit ribosomal RNA", at positions 30 to 507 of the family's 1533-position model. The record is from RNAcentral.
AUUGAACGCUGGCGGCAUGCUUUACACAUGCAAGUCGAACGGUAACCGGCCGCAAGGUGCUGACGAGUGGCGAACGGGUGAGUAAUGCAUCGGAACGUGCCCAGUCGUGGGGGAUAACUACUCGAAAGAGUAGCUAAUACCGCAUACGAUCUAUGGAUGAAAGCGGGGGACCGUAAGGCCUCGCGCGAUUGGAGCGGCCGAUGUCAGAUUAGGUAGUUGGUGGGGUAAAGGCUCACCAAGCCAACGAUCUGUAGCUGGUCUGAGAGGACGACCAGCCACACUGGGACUGAGACACGGCCCAGACUCCUACGGGAGGCAGCAGUGGGGAAUUUUGGACAAUGGGCGCAAGCCUGAUCCAGCAAUGCCGCGUGCAGGAAGAAGGCCUUCGGGUUGUAAACUGCUUUUGUACGGAACGAAACGGCUCUGGUUAAUACCCGGGGCUAAUGACGGUACCGUAAGAAUAAGCACCGGCUAACUACGUG